Long non-coding RNA from Sinocyclocheilus rhinocerous, 273 nucleotides. RefSeq lists it as uncharacterized. The record is from RefSeq and is a predicted model, not a curated record. NCBI's taxonomy places the organism in Eukaryota, Metazoa, Chordata, Actinopteri, Cypriniformes, Cyprinidae. The transcript has 3 exons.
AAUGCACCAUUGAAGUUGGAUGCCAACCGCCGUUAAACAUCAAGGAAGAAGAAGAAGAAGGUAAAAUGAUGGAAGGAAACCGGGACGAGGCUGAAAAAUGUUUGAAUAUCGCUAUCAAAGCCCUUGAGGAUGGCAAUAAAGACAAGGCUUUGAAAUUCCUCAACAAAGCAGAAAAGCUCUAUCCAACCGAGAAAGCAAAAGCUUUAGCCGGUGUUAUGGAUCAACUGGGGAUCGUGUUAACUGGGGAUGUGCGCGUGCAUGUGAGCUAUUUUA